RNAcentral lists this ribosomal RNA (426 nucleotides) under uncultured Lacunisphaera sp. Its description in RNAcentral is "bacterial SSU rRNA". It matches the Rfam family "Bacterial small subunit ribosomal RNA", at positions 355 to 774 of the family's 1533-position model. Lineage: Bacteria; Pseudomonadati; Verrucomicrobiota; Opitutia; Opitutales; Opitutaceae. The record is from RNAcentral.
UUUCGAAUCAUUCACAAUGGGCGCAAGCCUGAUGGUGCGACGCCGCGUGAGGGAUGAAGGUCUUCGGAUUGUAAACCUCUGUCACUGGGGAGAAAACGUUUUGAGCUAACAGUUCAAAGCCUGAUUUAACCCGGAGAGGAAGCAGUGGCUAACUCUGUGCCAGCAGCCGCGGUAAUACAGAGACUGCAAGCGUUAUUCGGAUUCACUGGGCGUAAAGGGUGCGCAGGCGGCCGUGUGUGUAAGGUGUGAAAUCCCGGGGCUUAACCCCGGAACUGCGCCUUAAACUACAUGGCUAGAGUACUGGAGAGGGUAGCGGAAUUCACGGUGUAGCAGUGAAAUGCGUAGAUAUCGUGAGGAACACCAGAGGCGAAGGCGGCUACCUGGACAGUUACUGACGCUCAGGCACGAAAGCGUGGGGAGCAAAAG